Cyprinus carpio carpio is the source of this 1107-nucleotide long non-coding RNA. The record is from Ensembl. Lineage: Eukaryota; Metazoa; Chordata; Actinopteri; Cypriniformes; Cyprinidae.
AGUGGAUGUUGGGAAGGGUUUGUGUUUGAGAGCGGUUUGCUGUCGUGCGUGGUUUCUAUCUUCUUUUUUCUGUAUGUGUUUUUUUUCUUUUUUUCUUUUUUCUUUUUGCUUUGUACAGUUUGCUGUGUGUAAAAUUUAAUAUUGGGUUAAAUUUAGUAGCGUGCCGUGCUUUUGCACGGUCCGUCUAGGAAUGGCGUCCACAGGUGGAAGAACGCCAUUAUCUCUGCGUCAUGGUUUCAGUACGGAGAGUUUACGCUGUUUUGAGUGCCGGGAAUACGGCCACAAAAGAGACUCGUGCCCUCAAAAGAAAAUUUUGGACCAAGCUAGGAUAAGUGAGACGGAAGAAACAUUGGUGUGUAAAGAUGUGGAGGUGAAUCAGAAGACAGGAGAGGAAACAUCAGGCUCGGAAGAGGGUCCUGUGGCUGUGGCUGAGACGAAUAAAGACAAUGGAUUGGAGAUCAUGUGUCCCUUUCAUCAUGACAAUAUCCAGGUCUAUGGGCAUCCCAGGAGUCUCAGGACAUGAGGCAGUGCUAGAGGCCAUUUCUCCCACAGCAGGCUUCACAUUUCUUCAAGUGGGCGGUUCAUUUAGAUAAUUUGCUAGAGGCUGCGAUUGGUUCUCCUCCUCACCAGACCCGAUAUAAGGACUGCCCCAGACACUCAAUUGGGGCCAAUUUGUGCGUGAUGCUGUAGUUUGCCUUUGUGCCUUGCCAUCAUCGUUCUUUUAAAUCUUUGAGUGUCUUACCAGAGAGAUAGUGUGUGGGUGAUUAAGAUUGUGAGUGUGAUUGUAAUUCUGUUUCAAUCACAUUUGAAACAGAUUUCAAUUUUUUGUUUCCAUUCUGUGAAAUUCCUUGUUAACUUGACCCAAGCCUGAUUGACUAUGAUUUUGGAUUCCGAUUGUGAAUUGUGGGCUGUUAACUUGUAUAUAUGUUUUGUAAAUACGUUUUGGCAAAUUGAGGGAUUAAGGGGGUUAGACGCCAUUUUAUUUUGAAACCACUUUUCACAUUGUUUUUGGUUUAGGGAGUCAGGCACUGUAAGUUGAAACUGUAUUUUUGUUUUCUUUAAUUUUGAUUUAGGAAGUGUAGAGUGUUAAAAAAAUAUAUAUAUUUU